AACAGUUUCUUCAAAGCGCUAUUUGAAGGAUUAAAUAAUAUGUUAUAUGUGAAUGCUGUGUUAACUUUAGAGCACUUAAUAAAUAUAAAAUAUUCCUCUGAUCAGCCUAGAAGGAUCAAUUAUGAUUAUAAAAGGCCUUAAAUUCCAACCUGAUGAAUCUUCUCAUUUUUAUACGCAAAGGAGAAACGGAAAAUACGUCUGACGGGGGAGUGGCAGUGUGGCGGAUAAAGCGAACCUCUGCUAGAAUAUCUUGCCCCUGACAUAUCAUUGUGCUUAUUGGUGAUUUCCGAUCGACUGCUUUCCACUAACCGGUGGGCUUCUUGCGGGCAGCAUCAUGUGCUCGACAGCUUUCUAGCCAAAUGCCAAAUAGCAAGGAUUGGUGCCCUGCGGGAGGCUGGAAUCUAUUUAAAAUGAGGCCAGCAUCAGCGGUACAAAGGCCAUCCUCUGGCAGCCCAGGAAGAAUGUGCUGUAAUCAACAUUCUGGGAAGACAAGACAAGAAUGGAGAAGUCACCCACACCGGGAGCCCCAGGGAGCUUCAGGUCCCACUCCAGCACCAGGAGCUCAUCUAUUACACAGCACAGCAAUCAUAAACUGAUUUUUAUUCUGGGUGGGCAUGUGUGAGUUUUACUUACCUCCUUCCCUCAUCAGAUUGUGAUUUCCUGAAGGGCACGGGCUACUCCGAUUCAACUUUUUAUCCCUACAUCUAGCACCUAGAACUGUGUGAUCACUCAGUGGUGACUGAGGUGAAGAGGGGAGGGAAGGAAAAAAGCGAGGACAGGAGAAAGGUCUGGGUGCCUGAGAAAGCCUCUCCUUUGCUUCAGAGGCUUGUUCUGGGGGCUUCUGGAUUUUCGGUCCUUGGGGGCAGGCUGCGAGCUCUCACUGGCCCUUGGUGGUUCUUUCCAGGCUCCCCGUCAGCCUCACAGGGUUGUUGUAAACUGCUCUCGGAAAGGAGUCACAGAGGGAGCCCGUGCUAGGAUCACCCGUGCACUGAACACCCAGCUCAUCCCAGUGGCUAUUUCAGAGUGGAAGAUGGCAAAACGUUUUGAUUUCACUUUGUUUAAAAGCAAGUUGUUCCUUUUCCUGACUUUUAUAUCCCAAGGCUAAGAAACAGUAUAAAACAACUUUUAAAAAUCUAUUUCAAUGUUAUCCAUUGUUCACUAAAAGAGGGUCACAAAGGGCACAAGAUGAGAGGAGACGCCGGGGCUCAUGUGAGUCGCUCGCGGAACGCAUUGGGAGAGCCCUUUCAAAAGAUUUGAUUUAGGAAGCGGGAAAUGAUUAAAACCGGAUGGCUCUGAGGAAAAUUAGAUUUAAAAUUUUCAUUACAUUUGCAUAGUUGGAUGUAAUUUUACUUACGAUCUCCCCUAUAUUCCCUGCAUACAACCUUCAAAACAGGUAAGGCCACGUGAACACCUGUGUGCGUAUGUAUGGGUGUAGGUACGCACACAUAUUUUUAAAUUAUCGAGUCCGGAUGAGAGUUUUUCUUACGACAUACAGAUGUACAACAGUGUGUCCCCAGAUAUGUUUAAUUCACUUUCAUUACCAGCCCAUCUCUUCGCCACAUAAUCGUCACACAGUGGUUCCAACAGGACACCUGAGCGUGGAACGCCGACCCAGCCUUUAAAACACAAGUUUCGGAUUUGGUAUUUUAGCAGGUAAAAGUUCAGUUUUUGGGUUUAUCCUUACAAGAGAGUACAUACGUAGCAUUUACUCUAUUUUUGUAAGGUAAAGACCGAUAAAUCCCCAAAGACCUUGGCAUUUAGGACAAGGUUAAUGCUUUAUCCAUAAAUUUACUCCUUAAACUCUGUGAUUCCUUGUAUCCGAGUGAGAUACCCUGUUGGCUGGACAAUGGCCUAUAUCUUAAAUAUGCAGAGACCCUCCAGAGCACACGGAGUGUGAAGGAACCAUCGGGAAUGGACAAUUAGAAGUCCUAGCGAGUUUCGCCAUCUCUGGGUGUCUAAAUUAAGAAUGCCAGGGUAUGACUGAUACCCGGGAGAGCCUCUGGACUUCUCUACGUGAUGAUUAGCCUUCACUUUAUGGAGGAGUGACAACAACAGAAUAAUAGCCACCGUUUAUCUACUCCUGAAUGCUUACCAUGUGAGGGCUAAAGCCUCGUUAAUUCUUAUCUUAUUUAGUCCUCACAACAGUCCUGUGAAGUAGGUACUAUCAUCAUCCCAUUGUGUAACAAACAAACUGAGGGUUAGAGACGUUAAUUAACUCGUCCCAGGUCGGGCGACUAAAAAAGUUUGGGAGCCAUUUUUUUGAAUAAAAUUCUAACAAAGUCUACAUUUUAAACCGUUGUAAAGUCUUCCUGGUAAGCCACACGUCUGUGGGAUCCCGUGAUUUGUAGUUAUUCAUUUUGUGUAUAGCUUGACCGAAAAAGUAUCAUUCUCAUUGUGCCUACACAUAAAAGCUUCAAACUGA
Neofelis nebulosa (Clouded leopard) is the source of this 2422-nucleotide long non-coding RNA. RefSeq lists it as uncharacterized. Lineage: Eukaryota; Metazoa; Chordata; Mammalia; Carnivora; Felidae. The transcript is spliced from 2 exons. The record is from RefSeq and is a predicted model, not a curated record.